RNAcentral lists this unclassified non-coding RNA (330 nucleotides) under soil metagenome. RNAcentral describes it as "partial contains 5.8S ribosomal RNA, internal transcribed spacer 2, and large subunit ribosomal RNA". The stretch from base 1 to 120 matches the Rfam family "5.8S ribosomal RNA", at positions 35 to 154 of the family's 154-position model. The record is from RNAcentral.
GAUGAAGAACGUAGCGAAAUGCGAUAAGUAAUGUGAAUUGCAGAAUUCAGUGAAUCAUCGAAUCUUUGAACGCACAUUGCGCCCCCUGGUAUUCCGGGGGGCAUGCCUGUUCGAGCGUCAUUUCACCACUCAAGCCUCGCUUGGUAUUGGGCAACGCGGUCCGCCGCGUGCCUCAAAUCGUCCGGCUGGGUCUUCUGUCCCCUAAGCGUUGUGGAAACUAUUCGCUAAAGGGUGUUCUGGAGGCUACGCCGUAAAACAACCCCAUUUCUAAGGUUGACCUCGGAUCAGGUAGGGAUACCCGCUGAACUUAAGCAUAUCAAUAGCGGAGGA